This 807-nucleotide long non-coding RNA is filed under the name Rattus norvegicus (Norway rat). RNAcentral describes it as "long non-coding RNA NONRATT017949". Lineage: Eukaryota; Metazoa; Chordata; Mammalia; Rodentia; Muridae. The record is from RNAcentral.
UUUGGCUUCAAAGAUUCCAGCACUCUUUAGACCUCCUGAAAUACCAUGUAAACUAGGGAGGGGCUACUCAGCAGGUAAAGGUGCUUGCUGUCAACUUUGGUGGCCUGAGUUCAAUCCCUGGGACCCACAUAGGGUAGUAGCCAAGAACUAACUUUUGAUUUGAUCCUCUUUUUUUUUUUUUUUUUUUUUCCCAGAGCUGGGGACCGAACCCAGGGCCUUGCGCUUGCUAGGCAAGUGCUCUACCACUGAGCCAAAUCCCCAACCCCUAAGAACUAACUUUUGAAAAUUGUCUUCUGACCUCUGCUUGUGUGCUGUGGCACUUACACGGCACAUACUUACACACUCAUACAUACACACUCACACAGCACUCACACACAUGCACACAUGCACACACUCACACAGCACACACAUACUCACACAUGCACACACUCACACAGCAUACAAUACAUGCACACACACAGCAGACACACACACGCAUACACACAGCACACACAUACUCACACAUGCACAUACUUACACAGCACACACAUACUCACACAUGCACACACUCACACAGCACACACAUACAUGCACACACACAGCAGACACACACACGCAUACACACAGCACACACAUACUCACACAUGCACAUACUUACACAGCACACACAUACUCACACAUGCACACACUCACACAGCACACACAUACAUGCACACACACAGCAGACACACACACGCAUACACACAGCACACACAUACUCACACAUGCACAUACUUACACAGCACAUACACACCCCCACAUGCACACACUUACACAGCACACACAUAC